GGCGGAAGGGCGAGGAACACGUGGGCAACCUGUCCAGGAGGCGGGGAAACCCGGGAAACUGGGGCUAAUACCGGAUGCGGCGCUCCAACGCAUGUUGGAUGCGCCAAAGGGGGCGGCAACGCUCCCCCUCCACGAGGGGCUCGCGCACCAUCAGCUUGUUGGCGGGUAACGGCCACCAAGGCUCACGGUUAGCUGGUCUGAGAGGAUGGCCCAGCCGCACUGGGACUGAGAUACUGCCCAGACUCCUACGGGAGGCUGCAGUCGAGGAUCAUUCGCAAUGGGGGCAACCCUGACGAUGCGACGCUGCGUGGAAGGAUGAAGGCCUUCGGGUCGUAAACUCCUGUCAUGGGGGAAAAGGAGAGGGGUGCGAACACCACCCUUAUUUGAUGGUACUCCAAGAGGAAGAGACGGCUAACUCUGUGCCAGCCGCGGC
This 433-nucleotide ribosomal RNA is filed under the name uncultured bacterium. RNAcentral describes it as "bacterial SSU rRNA". It matches the Rfam family "Bacterial small subunit ribosomal RNA", at positions 97 to 518 of the family's 1533-position model. The record is from RNAcentral.